GAUGCAUUGGCUUGUGGCCAAUGCAGUGCUGCAGGGAAGCCGUUAAGUUUGCCGCCUGGAAAGUACGUACGCAAGUAUGAAACUUAAAGGAAUUGGCGGGGGAGCACCACAAGGGGUGAAGCCUGCGGUUCAAUUGGAGUCAACGCCAGAAAUCUUACCCGGAGAGACAGCAGAAUGAAGGUCAAGCUGAAGACUUUACCAGACAAGCUGAGAGGUGGUGCAUGGCCGUCGCCAGCUCGUGCCGUGAGAUGUCCUGUUAAGUCAGGUAACGAGCGAGAUCCCUGCCUCUAGUUGCCACCAUUACUCUCAGGAGUAGUGGGGCGAAUUAGCGGGACCGCCGCAGUUAAUGCGGAGGAAGGAAGGGGCCACGGCAGGUCAGUAUGCCCCGAAACUCUGGGGCCACACGCGGGCCGCAAUGGUAGCGACAAUUGGUUUCGAAUCCGAAAGGAUGAGGUAAUCCACAAACGCUACCACAGUUAUGAUUGAGGGCUGCAACUCGCCCUCACGAAUAUGGAAUCCCUAGUAACUGCGUGUCAUUAUCGCGCGGUGAAUACGUCCCUGCUCCUU
This 567-nucleotide ribosomal RNA is filed under the name uncultured marine crenarchaeote. RNAcentral's name for it is "bacterial SSU rRNA". It matches the Rfam family "Archaeal small subunit ribosomal RNA", at positions 773 to 1338 of the family's 1478-position model. Lineage: Archaea; Thermoproteati; Thermoproteota. The record is from RNAcentral.